This is a long non-coding RNA of Peromyscus californicus insignis, 20000 nucleotides long. RefSeq lists it as uncharacterized. Lineage: Eukaryota; Metazoa; Chordata; Mammalia; Rodentia; Cricetidae. The record is from RefSeq and is a predicted model, not a curated record. The transcript has 14 exons.
UUCCUCAAGGUGUGUCUGAAUCCUGCUAGGGCUUUCAGCCCGUAAAGACAGGAAGUGCAUACACGGCCACAGAGCACGACCUCCUUCUAGAACACAUCUUGAAAAUGUUUUGAACGCUUUCUGAGCACAGGGACAAUGGCUUACGUUUUUUUGUGGGGGUGGGUGGGGGGAUGGUGUCCUCCUGCCUGACCUUUGGCUUGCCGAGAGAUGUGCAUCGCUACCCUGGACUCCCUCGGCUGCUUUCAGGCUGUGGAGAAGGCGGCACCCACGUUGGGAAGCAAAAGCUGUCGCAGGCUGCCUUGCCCAUGACAGCGUGUCUAAAAAUACAUCCACCGAGACGCAGGCAUAUGCUCGCGCCUCGGUGUGAAGGAGCUCUCUCUCGCCUGUGUUUCUCGCUACCUCCAUCUAAAUGCUGGAGCGAGGAGUUAAAUUAUUCCAGAAGGCCCGCCAGGGUCUGAUUUGCUACUGUCUGCUUCCUCGUUGCCUUUGAAUGGGACCCUUGAUCCAAGGCUUUCAGAGACCAGCCGGUGCUGAUGGGGGUCUGUGACUUGGCGGUGGCGCCAGCUUGCUCCUUCUCUGUCUCGGGCAUGGUUUUCUGUCCUGCUGGGGAGGGCGAGAGCGCUGGGCAGAGGUGGCACCUGACCCGCUAGAACUCCGAUGUCACUGCUGUGGCUGUUACUCCCCUCGGCAAGAGUCAAGGCGCACGCAGGACGAUGGCUACAUCUCUCAUUCCGGAUGCCACCAGGCCAUUCCAGCCACCUGCCAUAGUGUUGUCUCCAGACAAGGGCAGACGACCAGAGACGCUCUGAAGCCCUACGGCUACUUGGAGAGAAGAAUAAUGUUCCUGGCAAAGCGCUGUGAAACCAAGGAAGUGAAAUAACAAAAGAGCAUGAAGACAGCGCAGCCCCAGCUGGUAGGCCCUGAAGAGAGGCUGGAGUCCUCAGACCGACAGAAGGAAGACAUCUGAGGGGCGACCAGGAGGUGUCUGUGGCUGCGGAACACAGACUUAUGUUUGGAAAGAUACUGAGAAGUUUUGGUAAACUUGGCUAUCUCACGUCUCCAUAGGCAGGGGUGACUGAUUUGAAGACACCGGCAACAUGGAGACUGCUUCAAAAAUACUCAUGAGAAGUUCAGUUUUCCAGAUAUUUUUAAGUGCCUACUGUGAGCCAAGCAUUCUGUUAAGACCUAACGAUGUGUCAGUGCAAUAAGAUAACCAUGACCCAUCUGUGGAGAGCUCAGAGCCCUGCAGGAAGACACCUGAUUAGUGAGAACACUAAGUGUGAUAAAUGUCCAGAAAAAAAGAUGAGAUGAAAAGAGGAUGCAACAAAAACAUGGGACUCAAGAAACCAUCAAAAGCAAUGAAGAAGACUUUCCAACCAGCAUUUGCCCAGGAGCACAGCCCUGAGGAUAACUUGACUGAGCCCUCUGAGACCCAUGUGUGGCUUCUGGCUUCUAGAGUGGAAGGCCAUAGAUAUGGAUUCUUUUAGGCCACCGUGUUUGUGUUAGACUGUUCAUCUACAGUCGGAAGCUAAUGAAUGAGCUCAAUAUAUAGUAUGUUCACUCUACUGGUCAGAGAGUUUUCAGAUCACAUUAUGCUGUAUGGCUCAUACAUGCCAGGCACUGAGCUUGGAGUGGAGACUCUGGGCUAAACACACAGUCCUCAACUUGAAAGCUAUGAUCUCAAAGAAAUGACUACAAUUUAGCAUCUUCAAAAUGAGUCAAAAAUCUACAAUUGAAAACAACUUGUGAAGUUAUGCAUGCUGCUGUCGCAUAAGGACUUCCUGGAAUCAGUCAGAGCAAGAUGGUAGCAGCACAGGUCCUUAGGACAAUGAGCAACAGAAUUACUCCAGUUUCAUGUACAGAAGAGAGCAACCUUGAGACCCCCCAAAAUCCAUAGGUCCGAAGUAGUGAAGGAAAGUCGACCCUCAAGUAUGGCACCUUGACACACUUCCAAGCUGGAGAAAACCUGAAGCCACGGCACCAGCAGCCCCCUUCUGGUCCUCUCUCUUAGGGACUUGGGUGGAGGCUGUAUUGUUCUGUGCCAGAAGACAAGGACAGGAGGCUAGGAAGACUUACCAAAAUGAACAGGAGUGAUGCUGGGAAAUUGGGUAUCUACUUGGAAACGAAUGAAAGCAGACCUCUAUCCGUCACCAGUCACAGAAAUCAACUCGAAUUGAAUUAAAAUGUUAUCUUCACAGUGAAUUUUGUUAACUCUAUCAAAAUUCUCAACUUUCAGAUGAAAUUUCAGCCAGGCUCCAGGAUCCAGUACCUUGGCUAGCCCUGGAUUUUAUGUUGCACCACUUAUUGGCCUUGGGCAACCCCUGUGAAAGGGUCUUUUGACCCCUAGAGGGGUCAUGACCCACAGGUUGAGAACCACUGCCCUACAGUCUUACCCAUGAAAUGCUUGGCUACUUCCAAAUCUCCUGGAAAACCUGCCAUUGCAACAAACACAGCCAUGUAUCGGAAACACGCCCUGGAAUGCGUGGGAGCUCCCAUAAGAGCCUUGAAUCAGAGAUAAACUUGGGGGUGGAAGCUCUGAGGAUGCUAAACCUGGAAGAUAGGAAGAGUAUGUCCCUGUGAUUCCCUGGAGCUGUCACACUAACCCUGGGCUGUCCAAUUAGGCACUGCUUAUAUUUACAUAGAGAAAUAAACAUUUGUAUGGUCAAACCAUUAUCCUAAGGGGAUAUUAGUUCAGACAAUGGCAAGCCUGGUCUGUUGCCAACUGUGCACAUUUCCACAGGAGGCUGCCUGAAGUUUUCAACUUGAUGUUUACAAUAGAAAUUCCAUCUGCUUCUAAGGCUAUUGUUACAGCUUUUCCUUGUCCAGAAACAUUUCUUUAAUCAAGUUAAUGCUCUCCAAAUGUGCUAAGUAUUCUCCUGGUUCCCAAAUUUACCACAGUUUCCCAGGUGCUGUGAUUUCAAUUAUCCCAGAGCAUCUUGCAAAUGCCUUUCACUGGGACUUAGCUGAAAACUAGAGUAAUGGACUUUUCAAGAUGGAAGGGAAUUAAAAUUUUCUGUUAACCUAAAUUUCCGUACAAUGAAAUAAAACACUUUCUGUCCUUGAUACUUGCAUUGGGUACUUAUCCUAUUGCUGUGGGGCGGGGGGAAAUACCCUGACAAAAGCAAAUUAAGGGAGAAAAGGUUUACACAGUUCAAGAUUACAGUCUUCAUAGCAGGGAAGUCAUAGCAGCAGGAGCUUGAGACGGACGGUCACAUUGCAGUCAACCAAGAAGCAGAAAGUGGUAGAUGCUAGAGCAGAGCCUACUUUCUGCAUUUAUACAGUUCACAGUCCCAGCCUAGGGAAUGGUGCUGCCCACAUAUAUGGUGAAUCUCCCCAUCUCGAUUCAUCUAAUGGAGAAAAUCCUUCAUAGUCAUGCACAGCAACCAACUUAGAUAGUCCCUCACAGAUAUGUCUGUAGGGUUGUCUCCUGGAUGAUUCUAGAUCUUAUCAAGUUGAUAAUCAGUAUUAACCAUCAUAAUACUCAAGCACAAUUAGCAACCAACUGUUGUAGAAUAUUAUUUUAAGAUGUCUUAUGUUUGCUUAUGCUAUGAAACAUUUGUUUAAUGAUGCAAAGAUAUAUUGCAUUCUUUUAUGUUGCAUUUGUUUAACUCUGUGAAGCUGUGUUACUGUGCGUGUCUAAAACACCUGAUUUGUCUAAUAAAGAACUGAAUGGCCACUAUCAGGGCAGGAGAAAGGAUAGGUGGGACUGGCAGGCAGAGAGAAUAAAUAGGAGGAGAAAUUUGGGAAGAUAGAGAUCAGGAUACAAAAGGAGAAGGAAAGGACUCCAGGAGCCAGAUGCCCAGCUACACAGCCAGACACAGAAUAAGAAGGAAAGAAAAGACAUACAGAAAUAGAGAAUGGUAAAAAGCCCAUAGGCAAAAGAUAGAGGGGAUAAUUUAAGUUUAAAAAAGCUGGCAAGAAACAAGCCAAGCAAAGGCUGGGCAUUCAUAAGGAAGAACAAGACUCUCUGUGAUUUAUUUGGGAGUUGAGUGGCAGGCUCCCAAAAAGCAAAAGAGUAAAAAAAAAAUGCCAACAACAACCAACAGCAUUUUUACAAGAUCCCAGGUAAUUCAAAGCAUCUUGAAGUUUGAGGGGUGCUCCAAUCAAAUGCUUGUCAAAAGUUGUGUGGGUUGUUCACAAAACACCCUAAACAGUUCUCCUACAGAUAGAAUAAUCAGCAAGUUAUUCCGUUAAUAAGAUAAAAAUUUCUUUCCUUUUACCAAGGAUUUCUCUGCCUCUAGUCUGUAGAAUAAUUACAAAUAGUACUGACUGAUGGAAUUUUGAUUGAGAAUAUCCUCCUGGAACUUGGUCAGCAAUGUUUACAGUGCAGCAAUGGUUACAGGUGAUCAUGUCAUUAGAGUUUCCACUCUAUAUACAAUUAAUCUACUGGUGGGUUCAUGGCUCAAUGGAUUAGUAAAAGGUGGAGCAAACUGUAAGAUGUGAGACUGAGUUAGAGGAAGUAAGUCCUGGGAGUGUGCCUGGAAGGGCCUAUUUUGUUCCCUGCUCUACUGUUCUUCCUCCAUGCUACAAGGUGAGCAGUUUUCCUCUUGCUGAGUGUCAUUGGCCACAAGGUAUUGCCUCAGUGUAGAACCAGCAGCAAGGGAGCCUAAUGAUUGAAUACUCUCAGCCAUGAGUCCAAAUAAUUCUUCUGUCUUUUAAGUUGUUUUGCUCAAGGUUUUUGUCAUAGUGAUGAAAAGCUGACUAACACAGUGAUUCACCCUAAUUAUUUGAAGGUGCCUAUCCUGGUUCUCAGCCUUCUCUUUUCAAAGGAAAAUGACUCACUUAAUUGGCAUUCUUCACAUACUCUGAUUUUCAGAGAUUUCAUCUUCUUUUAACUCAUACUAAAUUGUUAGUAUCCUAAUUAGAAUACAAAUUUGCAAUUUAAUAUAUUUACUGAGUGAACAACACUAGAUUCCCCAACAUAGCAGAUUCUAACUUCUCUCAUAUACAACACAUUACAUUUAAACGUUGAUCCAUCGCUGUAGUUCUGAUGCUAUUCUCAUCAUUAACAUCAUUUUAUAUAAAUAUUGAAAAUCCAUUUUAAAACCAUUUAAGUUACAUCAAAACCACUUAGUAACAAAAAUCACAACCUGUUUUGUUGAUAUAUUUGCUUUUGCUUUAUUUGAGGAAUUGAGGUUUCACUAUGUUAACCAGGCUGACCUCAACAUCCUGAGCUCAAGUGAUCCUUCAGUCUCAGCUUGCUGAGGGGAUUGGUUAGAGUACAUUCCAUUGCACCCAGUUUCCUGUACUUCAAAGAAACCUUUUAGUGAUUUUCAUACAUGAGUAUUGUAUUUACAUAAUUUCCUCCUCUUCUUCUUCUCCCAACUCUUCUGUCCCCCACGCCUUUUCAAAUUCAUGACUUCUUUAAUUAUUAUUCCUUUACGUGCAUGCGCGCGCGCAGCCACACACACACACACACACACACACACACACACACACACACACGUGCAUGCACAACCUACUGAGUCCAUUUAAUGUUACCCAUACAUCCAUGUGCUUAGGAGUGACUACUUGGGAUGAUAUAACUAUCAGAGGGCUUGUUUCUGUAGAAGACUGAUUCUCCUUCCUCUCUCUUUUGGCAGCCAUUAAAUGCCUCUAACUCUUCAUCUGGGGUGGGUCCUCAUGAGAUAUCAUGUUCGCAUGCCAUUGUUGUCAUUGUGCAUGUCAUGUUAGGUGGCCAUACUGUUGAGAGUUCGUGAGUGUAACUUCCCUGUCACAUGGAGAAGCCACUACCUUGCAGCAGACAUCCUGGUCCUCUAGUUCUUGCAGUCUUUCUGCCCCUCUCUUCCACAAUGAUGCCUGAGCCUGGCCUUACAGUGGUGUUGUGGAUGCACCCAUUGGGGUUGAGCACUACACAGUCAGUUGUUAUCUGCAUUUGGACCAGUUGUGGAUUUCUGCAAUUCCACCUGUUGCAAAAAGAAGCUUCUCCGUUGACGGGUGAGAGCUUCACUUAUCUGUGAGUAUAAGACUAAGUACUUGCUGGGCGGUGGUGGCGCACACCUUUAAUCCCAGCACUCGGGAGGCAGAGGCAGGCAGAUCUCUGUGAGUUCAAGGCCAGCCUGGUCUACAGAGCGAGAUCUAGGACAGGCACCAAAACUGCACAGAGAAACCCUGUCUCAAAAAAAAACAACAAAAAAAGUACUUAUAAUGCAGUUGGAAAUUAUACUCAUUUAGGUUCUCCUCCAGGGUCUAAUAUCUUAACAGCCAGGGGCUUGCAAAAGCCAUAGGAAACAUUUUAUGUUUACUUAAUAAUACAUAUAUAAUAUACAUUAGUAUAUGCAGAUACAUAUACAUAGAGUUUAAACUACAUUGUGCUACUUGGGGUGAUGAUACUCCCUCCAAGAGCCAUGGAGUAGCUAACAAAAUCCCAGUGCCAAGCAUGGGAAACAUCCCUUGGAGAUUUUGAUCAGAGAAAUCCAAGGGACUUCCAAAAUAAUACAGGCUAUUUCCAGUGCCCUUGUCUCCAGAACUUGAAAGUAAGGUCCUAUUCCUGAAGAUUCCACACCCUUCAGACAGGACUUGGUGUUGAUUUGGAAUUGACCUGGAAGCCUCCUCCCUGAAGACCAGUGGAUACAGUCAAAGGUGCUAUACAAGCUGCCAAGAUAAAAAAGCAAUCAAUGGUUCUUCCUGCCUGUAAAACUAAGAACUACAAUGAAAACUGGCACAGUAAGAUAUGUACAAUGGUACAGCAGCGGCACCUCCAUCUUGGGAUUAACCACCGGCUGUCUAUUAAACUUAAGGUGCCUCGGCAGGAGGGACUUCACACCUAGUACUAUAAAACUAACCAACUACCUGUUUAGUUUAAGGUGUGUUGCAUUCAUUUAUACUGUGAAAUAUUCGUUUAAUGAUGCAAAGAUGUGUUGCAUUCUUUUUUGUUGCAUUUGUUUAACUCUGUAAAGCUGUAUAACUAUGCCUGUCUAAAACACCUGACUGGUCUAAUAAAGAGCUGAAUGUCCAAUGGCUGGAGGGAGAGAGGGAUAGGCAGGGCUGCCAAGCAGAAUAGGAGGAGAUAUCCAGGCUUAAGAGAAGAGGGAGGAGUGAAAAAAGGAGGAGAAGAGAAUGCCAGGGGCCAGCCACACAGCCACACAGCCACACAGCCACACAGCCACACAGCCACACAGCUGGUCAUGUAGUAAGGAGGAAAGAGAGAUAUAUAGAAUGAAGAAAGGUUAAAAAGCCCAGAGGCAAAAUGUAGUUAAAGAGAAACAGGAUAAUUUAAGUUAGAAGCUAAGCUAAGGCUGGGCAUUCGUAAGUAAGACUAAGUCUCCAUUUAGGACCUGGUGGUGGGUCCCCAAAGAGUAAAAAACAAAACAGCUAUACUACCUAUGGGUUGUGCAUUUGUUUUAAUCAUGAAAACUAUGUCUGAGCCAUGUCUUAACUUUUCUGGAAAGAAUACUGCUACCACUGAAAAAUAAAAGUGCUCCAGCAGAUGCCCUGAGUUCACUCCAUUGUAAGUCUCAGAUUCUGCUUGCCUGUAGGAAGCUUUCUUCUGGCUCAAGUGACACCAUCUCAAAGCCCUACACCCGUGGCCAUUGUGUUUGCUCACAGCAUGCAUGCGAGUGCUUCUCUUCCUCUGUCUCCUCCUGGCAGCAGGGACUCAUGUGUCCACGACACCCAGCACAAUGAAGAACUUACACUAGGCACUAAACAAAUAUUUUUACAUGAAUAAGGCCGAGGUUACUCCUUUGGACAGAGGACAGAACUCGAUUGGAUUUUAUUGGAAUGAGUUGAGUGAGAAAAGCCAGUAAAGUACCCAUGUUCUUCUUGCUAUCUUUAGGUGAAAUGUAGAACUCCCAUUGGGAUUGUCCCAACAAAAGGAGUUGACCUAGUUUAACAGAGUAUAAAUAUAGUGUGUCCCCAAAGGUCUCCAAACACAGGAUUCACCAAAGUGUAUCUUCAGAACUUCAAGUGGUACGACUAACACAGACUGACCCACUUAACAUGAGCCUUCUCACACAAAGUGGAUUUGAAACCAGUACCGUCCCUCAGAGUUCCUGCGGCCUACUGUCCAGUAAGAGUCCUCUUUUUCUAUGAAUGGCCUUUGAAGAGUUUGUGUUCAACAAAAACUCAAGCGCAAAAGACUCUCAACAACAACAAAUGCCCUAAAAUUGAUGGUGUACUUUCAGAGGAAGCUGAGGUAAAUACAGAAAUGGAGACCAUCCAGUGUUAGCCUUUCCCAUUGGUGUGUAUUUUCAGUUUUUAUAACCCUCAUUCAAAACACGCUAUCUUCUAACUAUUUUAUCUGAGGGUAGCUAGCUGCCAGUGGAAGGGCAUUAUCACUGUUUAUGAUCUCGCAGAGUGCCUGUAAACGUUGGUACCUCAGCAAAAUUAUCGUCCUGAUUAUAUAGCUUUAGCAGAGGGGAUAGUUUGUUAAAAUAGACAAGGGCAAAUCAGCAGCAAUAUCUUGCCCCAAUUAAAACAUGAGUGAGAUGAAAACAGCAGCUAUUCAGGAUGCCUCCUUAUCUAGGGAAAGUUCACAGUACCCUCAUCCUUUCUAUAGGUGGUACCCAACUGAGACAAGCUCUGCUUUAGUGACUAACAGGGAUGCCGUGCUUUACAAUGCUUCCUUUUCUGUGCACCCCGGUGGUUGUGCUGAUGUCCCCAAACUACCUAAAGCCAUCUCCCAGUGGAAAGGGUUCCAGCCUUGGCGGGUCCAAACGACGGUUUGGCAGAAGGACUAGAGUAUAUGUAUGGUGUGAAUGCUCUGUGCGGGGCUGAGAAACAGGGUUCAUGUUUUAUUUUCCACUGUGAGGCUAUAAAAGUAAGUGAAAAGAAAAUGCAGCUUCCUGUCUGUGGAAGAGCUGGGUUGCUUCCAGUCCUUUGCUGUUGCUAACAAUGCAGAGAUAGAGACUCAUAUACAUCAUUUUGCGUGUGUUUUAAUAUCACUCCAGAAUGCAUUUGUAGAAAUAGAAGAGCAGGGGCAAAGGCUGUACGCCUUUGUAAUUUUAAUACAUAUUACCAGAUUGCCUUCCUCAGGGACUGCAACAAUUAAUAUUUCCACUAGCAAUGUAUAAAAGUGACUAUUCAGGAAAAAGAGUCACCAUCAGAUUACAAUGUACUCUGAGAUUCUGGAGGUAUCAGUACACUGUUUUAAUGCUUUUAUUGGCAUGUAUUAAUUGUAUAUAAUAAUGGGUUUCAUUAUGGCAUUUUCAUGCAUGUAAUUUGAUUGUCUUCACUCCCAGUCCUGCUCCUGAUCUGUUACCAGUGUUGUUGAUCAGUUGAUCAUUCCUCUUCCCAGCUGCCCUCCCUUCCACGUUCAGUGCACCCCAAGUCCCCAUGGGUUGUUUGCUGCGAUGUUAGUGACAGUUUGUUUACAGGAGCAUGUACACCUUGUCAGGGACACCACUGAAAAUAUGUCCUUCCCUCCUUCAUCAACUGUAUCAGCGUAGUUUAAAGCUUUCCUUCCACAGUUUCAAUUUUUUUUUGAAUUUUUAAAAAUAUUCUUUGUUUUCUUUAGGGAAAUAAGCUCCUUUUCUGGAUACUCAUUGCAAGGAUUUAAAUUUAAUUUAACUUUUAUAACAUUUUUCUUUGUUGAAUAGUAUGUCCUCACGCUCAAGUCCUCCUGUGAGUUUUGUGUACUCAAGCGUAACAAUUUAAAAAUUUUUUAAAUUCGGAGUUAUAUUUAGAAACGUUUCUUCCCAUCCAAGCUUGUAAUGGAAUCUUUCCAUAUUUUCUUUCUGUGUUUUUGUGGGUUUAUGUUUUAUGUUUAAGCUUUGAUCCAUUUGGAAUUUAUCCCGGUUUGAGGCCUGGGGAGAAGAUCUGCUUGAUCUAAUGAAUUUUAUUUAAUAACUCAUCUUUCCCCUCUGGUUUGAGGCAGUGCUGUUGAUAUAGCUCUUUCAUUCUCUUCCUGAAUGUUCUAUUUUUUUUUUCUAGGAAUUUGAUGACCUCUUCAUGCAUACAGCCACACUCUUUUCAUUGUUAAGACUUAGAAAUCAAAUGUCCACUUACUUCCCUUGCUCUUUGCUUCAGAAUUUUGCUAAAUAUUGUUAAUUCAUGUAUCAUUCUCAAAAAUCAUCUUUUGGGGGCUGGAGAGUUGGCUCGGUGGUUAAGAGCACUGACUGCUCUUCCACAUCACAGUUCAUCAUCAAAGGAAGUCAGGAGAGGAACUCAAACAGGGUAGGAGCCUGGAGGCAGGUGCUGGUGCAGAGUUCUGCUUACUGGCUUGUUCACUAAUGGCUUGCUCAGUCUGCUUUCUUAUAGAACCCAAGACCACCAGCCCAGGGGUGCCACUACCCACAAUGGGCUGGGCCCUCCCCCACUAACCACUAAUUAAUUAAGAAAAUGCCCUACAGGCUUGUCUGAUCUUAUGAAGGCAUUUUCUUAAUUGAGGUUCCCUCCUCUCAGAUGACUUUAUUUUGUGUCAAAUUGACAUAAAACUAGCCAGCGCAGACCCUACUUCCCAACCAUGAUCCUUGCUCCUAGGGAAGCAAGGAUUAGGUUUUAUGGUUUUUUGUUUUUUUUUUUGUUUUUUUGUAUGACAGGAAUUGGAUUCCUUUAGCUGUGGGCUUCUAUUAUCUUCUGGGAUGUGUCGGUGGGCCUUCUUUACCCAAUUCCAUCCUUAUAUUUCAGCCAUUUAUGGAUGUGCAGUAGAAGAAAUCUCCUUCCAAACCCUUGUCCAUUGGAAACAUGGCAGACCAGGGAGCUGUUUUUCAGUUCUGAUUAUUCUUGCUGUUGAAGUAUCAACAAGCAUGCCCACAGAUUCUCUUCUCUUCUCCUUAAAGCUAUGAAUAUAAUUAAAUAUAUCAGAGAACUUCCUAUAAGGGAACUUGUUUCGUUCAUUUACUAAAUCCACCUGGUCAUAUUUCAUUAUUCAUGCCAGCAUCUACUUGCAAAUAUUUUGCUUAGGAAUUAGGAAAUUUCAUCAUUUUUCAACACAGUUAUCUUAAGAAUAACUUGGUAGUAAAUAUUGAGGUUCAUAAGCACAUUUAAAAGAUUUAUUGUUCUUACUGUUCUUUGAAACAGUUUAAAUAAUAUUGGAAUUACAUGUCUCUCAAAGUUUUGAUACUAUUCACCCAUAAAAUUUGUGAGACUUAGUCCUUUUUUUAUUGAUGUCUUUUCAAAGAAAAGUGAUUCCUUUAGAUAAUUUUAAUUUCAGGAUCAGUACUGAUAAAUCAUAGAUCCCCACAAUAAUUUCUUUUCACUGGAUAUAUCAAAGCCACAUAAAAUUAAACAGAUCAUUUUCAUCGGAGUAUUUGGUAUUUCUUCAUUGCAAUUGGCACUCACUUUUUGUUUCUGUUUUUGCAUCCUCCCAUCUUCACUAAUUGAACUGAAUUAUAGUGAAUCAGUUGUUUUGAUCUUGUUUUCAAUGUGUUAAUUUUUAAAAUUUAUUAGUUUGUUUUUCUGUGGUGGUGUUUCCUACAUCGUUAACUCUGCUUAAAACCCACAUUUCUCUUAAAAUUGUACUCUUCUGCUUGCCUUAAUUUGUGUUGUGGCAUUUGAAUGAUCUGUUUGGAUUCAUGUUUUAUUUUCAUGUCUAAUUACCUAAUCUAUAGUUUCUAUUUAUAUUAUAGGAGUAGUAUUUUCCAUUGUUUCCUGGAUUUUAAAUUUUGAUUUCCGUGAAGACAUUUCCCCGCUUACUCUGUUGUGAAGUCCAUGUUUGUGUUCAUUCUAUUGCCUUUGUGUGUCUUUUCUUGGUUCUUGUAUCUCAGGCUUGGAGGGGAAAGGGUGUCACAAUAGUUCUUUUUAAAAAGUAACUUUUCUGGUAGGCAGUGCCUUUGAUCCUAGCAAUCGGUGGCGUUGUGGGGGGUGCAGCAGGCAGCAUCAGUCAAAUUCAAGAACAGCCUGGUCUAUGGAGUGAGUUCCAGGACAGCCAGGGCUACACAGAGAAACUGUCCCUCAAUGCCCCCACAAAAUAAUAAUUUUUCUAUUUUUUGAGAUUAUAGUUACAUCAAUUUUUUCUUAAUUGUUGUUAAGUAUACAACAUGUGUGUAUAACUAUUCACACCUAUAAAUAUGUAUGUCGAUCACACCCUGCUGUGUGUAUAUGUUUUCAGGGCUGACCAGUUGCUGUGAUCUUCUUUGGGGAAGACUAUUUCUUCACUCUCGCUCUCCUUAGUGGCCUAUAGUUCUUCGUCUACAGUUGAGGCUUCAUGACCUCUGCUGCUUCCAUGUUCUCGGGUCGACGAUUUUUGUCUUUUUAUAGACUUUGUUUAGGCAGCCAUGUUGGUGAGACCUCAUGGGUGUAGCAUCUCUGACAUUUCUAGGAGACACACUCUCACAGCAUCUUCUUGUCCCUCUGGAUCUUGCAAUUGUUCAGCCUCCUCUCCUGAAAUGCUUCCUGAGUCUUAGGUGCUGGGCUUGUAGAUGUAUCAGUUGGGACUCUGCUCCCCAACUCUGCGUUUUGAUCCACUGUGGUUUUCUGUAAUGGUCUGUAGCUGUUGCAAAAACAGGUCUCCUUGCUGAGGACUGAGAAGUGCACUUACCUGUGGGUACGAGGAUGAAUAUUUAGAAUGAAGCUGGGGAUUAUACUGCUUCAGUAAAAUGGCCAUUGUAGUUUCUUCUUCAAGACCCAUGACUUCACUCGCCCUGGGUAGUUGGCUAGGUUUCCAGUACCAAGCAUAACUUCCCUCUUGUUGAGUGAGCACAAUAAUUCUUUUUAAUUAGUUUACUGUUUUUAAUUCAUGGACACAUUCUUUCUCUUAAAAGUUAAUAUUGAUAUAUGUCAAUCUGCAUGUAUGAUAUGUGUGUGUGUGAGUGAAUGUGGGCAUAUGUGCCCUGGUACACAAGUAAAAAUCAGAGGGCAACUUUUAUGAAUCAAAUCAGUUCUUUCCUUCCACCAUGGGAUCUGGGAACUGUAUUCAGGUUGUCAGGUUUGUGUGACAGGUACUUUUAAUUGUUGCUAAGGCAACUUGCUGGCCCAAGGACCCCAUUCUUCACUUCUCUGUCUCAGUGUCUUCUAUUAUCCUUCUCUGCACAUAAGCUGUAUUUCUGCUGUGGUUUACGUGAUGUCUCUCAAAUUUAAUUUUUAAAUAGCAUGAGGCAAAGGUCUGAUUUCUUUCUAUAUUGUUUUUUUCUUUGGCAUACGUUUUUCCUUACAAAACAGUACAUUUGUUAACAAGACUUCCUUUCCCUCCGCUGAGUUGCCUUAGACCUGCCAUCAAAAGCUGUCAUGCAUCUGCAUCUGUAAGUCUCUUUCUGGACUCUGCAGUUCCCCACUGUCUUCUGCACCUCCCGCAGUAUCUUGAUGAUGACUGGGUCCUUACACCAAAUACUACCAUGUCCCAACAUUUUUCCUUAUUUUGAGAUAAAUGUGGCUCUCUGUGGUUCCUUGCAUCUAUGAAUUAAUUUUAGAAUCUGAAUUCCACACACAAAAUAAUCCUAUUGGGGUUUUUAAUCAGCCUAUGCUCCAUCUACAAAGCCCCCCAGGGAGAUCACUGGAGUCUUCCAGUCCUUCCGUGUGGCAUGCCCCUCCAUUCAUAAGAAGGAUUUGUGAUUUUUAUUGGUAAUAUGUAAUUUCUCCCUUCCGUUUUUUAUCAAAGUAUCAUUCUUUCAAUGCCUUUGCUGUCUUUUACUUCUUUUUAAAAAUGUUUUUAAAAGUACUUCUUGUCUGGACACUUGUGUGCAGAUGCAUCCGGAGGUCAGAAGAGGCCAUCAGAUGCUCUGGAACUAGGGUUACAGAUGGUUGUGAGCCAUCAUGUUGGUGCUAGGAACCAUGUCGUGUAAGUGCUUGUAACUGCUGAGCCAUCUCUCCAACUCCCCACUUUUUUGAGAGAGGAAGAGUUUAUUUAGGCUUACAAUUUGGGGGGCAGUCCAUGUUGGCAGGGGGUGCACGGCAGCAGGAGCAUAAGGUGUCUGGUCACAUUGGGACUACUGGAAGGUAGCAGUGACAUCUUUGUUCUUACACACACUGGAGUGACUCUACUUCUCCUGGGCCUGUUUCUGUUGCUGUUGUUUCAUUUUGUAUUUUUCCCCAUGACUCCUCGCUUUUUAAUCUUUUACUAGUACCUACAGGCUUCUUCCCUUUAUCUCUGAUGGAUUAUCAGGUAUAUUUUUUCUUUGAUUUUAGUAUGAAAAAUAUUUGUGAUAGAUAAGGCUGGGAAUUUUGUUAGUAAUGAAACCAGAACUAUAACCCAGGUCUCCUCAGGGCCAAGUGUCUCAGUUACUGAAAGGAGCAAAUAUUAGAAUAAUUGGUGGGAAUCUCUACCUCCUUCAUAUAUAUAAUAUAAUGUAAUAUAUCCCAUUCUUUGCUAGCACUGUUUCAGAGUAACCUCACUUAUAUUGGCUUUGAAGUCUUUUGAAACAAGAAGCUAAGGAUAGAACCCAUUAAAAAUCACCCAACAAACUUCAUCAUUAACUCUAGAAGAAAUCACGCUUUCUGUUGGGAAAGACCCUGUUCAGAGAGCAGUUUCUGCUUUGCUGUUUUCUCUUUUUCUUUCCUCUUUCCCUGAUCUCCUGCUGCCUUUCUAAUGGAUUCAGGUCACACCAAGGCCCUGAACAAUGAAUGCUUACAAAGAGCAGUUGCAAGCCUUGACUGAGGAGAUAAGACAAACCGGGAGACACUGAGUAAGAGCAGGGCCUGAGGAAGGCAGACUCGGGGCUCUUAGAAGCUGGAUGUUAAAAGAAACGCAGAGAUCCAGAAACAAGACAAGGGCAGAGUCGAUGUAAACCCUAGGCUAGGAAGGAAGUCAAGAAUCUAGCCUAGUAGUUACAGUUCCAACUCCAAUGCCCUGUGAGUAAGAGCUUGGAACAGAGGUGGUUCUGAAUUUCAAAGAAAAUCUGGGCUGGUAUGUACGGGUGCAGGGCUACCAUUUGACACAACUCUUAGGAACAUCCGUAUAUAUUGAUGAAUUCAUUCAUUCAUUGAUCCUAUUGUCAGUUAGUAGGUUAGUAAUAUUAGGAAGCUGACCUGAGUCUUUAAAAUGUUAAAGGUGAAAGACAGAGUGAAGAUGUCUAUUAGCGACUCUUGCUAUGGAACAUGCUAGGUGAACAGCGUUGAAACAUACACUAAGCUUUUGUCCCCCGGGAGCAGUGUCAUGUUAGUGGCCAUCAAAGCAGUGAGCUGACAGGCUUAACUUUCCCGGAGAGAUGUUAUAAAAGGGGCGAUUUGGGAAAUGAGUGGGCUCCCUGGCCCCCAUCAGUGUUCAAUGUGCUACCCUGGAGCCAAAGCACCAGCCAUGGUAAUUGCAGCAUUUGUUUGGGGUGGGGGGUGCAUUCCCAGGCUGCAGAGCCUCAUUUCAGUCCACAUGCCUCUAAUUUGAUGUUUUUAAAUUCAGCUCCAAGACUGUCGUCAGCCAUUUGUCCCCCUCUUUCCUUUAACACUGACCACCUUGUCCCCUUUUCUCCUGUGAACAGAGGCAAGCAGUGUGCAUUGAAAGCCAACAGCUUUUGUGUUGCUUGGGAAAUCUGAGGCUGACAUCUCCGGGCCCUUUCUGCCUCUCCCGCCUCUCUCUGCCCGUGACCUGCCAAGUGGGUCUGACUCUCCCAGGCUUUCGUCAUGUUGUAUAUCGAUUGCUCUCCUUUCGUUUAUUUGUAAGAUGCUGAAGGACAGACCCUGCUGCACAGGGACAGUGGCUUUGGCAAUGAGUAGGUCAGCCAGUGUCCCUAGGCACACAGGUCCAGUGAUACUUCACCGGGUUGGCUGGUGUGACAUCAGUAGCUCCUAAAGGGACCAAUUGAUUCCCCCAUUUACCCCCUGCACCCCACCCCACCCCCAAGAUCGCUAUUCUAAACUCUCAAAUUCUUUUUCUGGGAUUUCAUUCUGCCUUUUUGAAUGCUCUUUUUUUUUUCUGCUUCUUUUCUUUCUUAGACCUUGUGAUCCUUAGGUACUGGGUUUACUAAUUACCCCCAAUGCUGGCACCUGACAGCAGGUGGCCACCAUUCUGUUAAUUAUGUCCCGGGGCUUAGAGAGUCUCUUCUAAUGACAUCUAAUCAUCUACCUCUGACUCUUGGGCUGAAAGCAGGUUGCAGGCACAAUCUCUUUCCCUGAGCUCUUCAAAUCUAUUCUUCUGGCCUAGCACCAUGCCUGCAAGGUAGAUGAUAGAAUUGCCAAGCACUAGGUUCCUUCGAUGGUGGCUGGGGAGUCACAGCUCAAAUGCAGGAAACUGAUCAGCACAGUGCCGGUUUACUAGUCAAAUAAGCCAACUUGAGGAAGGGGAGGUCUGAGACCUGCGGUAGAUUAAGACUCUUCUCUGUCUGUCUCCCUCAAUUCCCAGAGCCCCAUUGUAUACUGUCCUUUAGCCCAAACUGAGAUGGUAGCUUCCCACAGUCGACUGUAGAAAGCAGAAGGAGAUGCGGUUAAUUCUUUCAUAGGGGAGUAAGAAAGACUGCACUAUAACAUGUGAGAGCCCUGGGCUGCCAGAGAAAUCAGUGUAAAUCCUUGUAGUAUUCAUUUGGUGAGCGAACAGGCUUCUGCCUUUCAUCCAUAAAACAGGGGAAAUAUCCCUUUUGUGCUUUUUUGAAGUGCAGCCAAGAGAAUUAAUUGUGCAUUAUUUCCAGAAGGUUUGGUAUUCCAUGGAGGCAGGUAGUGUGUGCAUAUAUGUGUGCAGACAAAGGUAGACAGAUAUAGUGAUAAUCCUUCACUGGCUGCUUCCAGACACCGAUGCUGAAAGAAAUGAAUUAUGGGUAAGGAGAACUGUCGAGCAGAGAGUUUUGGUCAAUUUGUAGGUACUUUAAAGCAAUUGUGAUGGAUGUGGGAAGAGAGAUCGAUGGAGAAAUAUCAAUAGGGAUUUCGCCGUAAGGACGCCAUGGCCACCAGUCUCACUACCCAAAUGACUGUAACCUGAGCAAAUUAAAAGGGGAAGUACAGUCCUCGCCUAUAACAGCAAAAAUAAAACAUGCACUUACUCUCACAACUGGUAAGAUCAGUCUCAGAGGCCAAGGAUAGAUGAAAUUGUUUUUGGUGAAAGUCAGAGGUAUCUUACUUGGCUGACAAUUAUGAUCAUAAGUUUUGGUAUAUCAUUGCAAUUGAGCCUCAGAUACUCCUGUAUGAUAGACAACCAGGGUAAGUUCUCCUUUGCUAUGAGAGGUAGUACUUGGGGCCCCACAGUGUACAAUGUCUACAAGUGUACAGGUGUAAUCCUGGCUUAUUCUUCCUGAAGGAGAUUAUGUCUGGCCGCCCCACAGUUUCUCUGCAGAUUUCGUGGAGACCUCAGCUAUGUUGCUCUAGCCUGUCUGCACCCUUCAGGGAACCCUCUUUUCACUGGUCCCUCCUCAAUAGUUUGACACUUGCAUGCCUGCUCUCUGUGAGUAAGGCUUUACCCUCAAGUCAGCAUACUUUCCAGGCCUUUCUUGAACGAUAACAUAUCAUAUGGUCCUGGCAGGUCUCCAAGAGUCUCCAACUGAUGUCACCUAGAGUUUUUUGUCAUUGCCCAGUCAAAGGGAAGCUCACAGACAGAAGGUGAGAAGAAGAAAGUCACCCAGGAGCUGCCUAAACAAAUGGACACUGAAAUUCCAGGUGUCUGUGCAGCCUGCCCCAGUUUAGGAUAAUUCAAACUUUCUUGCUGAGUUCACUGGUUAUUUGUUGACCAUUCAGUCUAAUGUCGAUGCAACAACUCUCCAGGGGGACUUGUAAUUUGUACUUGAUUUUUGCUGGAUCUUCUUUUUCAUCCUUCCCUCCUCUAAUUAUUGCAUUCUCUGCACUCGCUCUCUAUCUCAAGUUGUUUGUAACCUUCUCAAUCAAUUGCUUUCUCGAAUCUUACUUCCAGUAUGUCUAGGGGCUUGGCUCUCCCCUAAGUCAGGGAGUGAUGGUAAGGAUGCUGGGAAAUGUGCGAUGGAUGAAUGGCUCACUUUGUGGCCACUGUUCUCGAUCUCGUUGUUUGGAUUUUUUGACCUAGGGAAAAACAAACAGUGCCUUAGGUCCUUCCUCUCCCUGCCACUGCCCUUGUGAUUUUCCCUGGCUAUUUGGGAGCCCAGCAAGGGUAGCAGUGGUAAGGAAGGAUUCAUUACUCUUCCUUGAUGUGUGUGAAUACAUUACGUCAUUUCAAUGGGAUCUAGACUUCAAUGACAGACUCUCCCUGCUGGCUUGGCUGUGUUCUCUGCUCCACAGACAACAAAAGAUGACAGGUUGUAAGUUCCCACGUCAGAAGAGAGCAACUGGCUUCUGUUGGCAACCUUAGUUGUCAACUGGCAGCCCCAAGAAACAGGCUCUCUGGGUCAUGUAAGGACAGGCAGGGGCUGACAAGUUUGAAAGGAGAAGAAGAAGCAAGGAGAGGGUUGACGUCAACUCCACAGCCCAACAGUGUCCACCCCCACCCCAGCCCUCACUCCAGCCCCCACCCCCUUUCUUUGCAGAGCUCAUGCCUGAUCACUCAUCACAGCCUGGCACUAGGGUGGGAUUAUAAGAGUUAGAGUAAGCAUCUCCUGACUCUGCCCCAAGACAACUACCUGGGAAUGGCCACUAGUCACCUAGUCAGUAAUCAACUCUCUUUCCUCUCCGCCAGACCCAGCCAGCUUGAUGUCCUCUGUACUAAUAACCAAUAAAAAUACAGCCUACUUCAUUUAAUUUAUUUUCAAUGCAAGGCUUAUUUAAAAUUCAGCAUAGCAAAUCCAGUGAGGAGUUAGGUCCUACGUAGUGACUAGUUUUAGUAGGUCCUUCCAGGACGCCUUUUGUUGAGGAAUAGUUUCAGAUUUGCAGAAGAGUUGCAACAGUGGAAUAGAAUUUCCAAACAGCAGUCACCUAGCUUCCAGGCCAGUUCUACUAUCUGACUGAUUUUGACCAAUGCUUUAAAUAAGGGAAAGCCAAGCUUGUGGAGCAAAUUAGAACUGUCUAAUGUGGGGUCUCCUCUUAACUCCCACCCAGUGUCACAGUGCCUUCCUGCUUCUGGGAUUCCCAGACUAGUGUGGGAGGGAAUUAAGCAGAUCCAGUGCCAUAUUCUAGGUGCCAGUCACAAGUUUCCCUAUGGACAGCCUAGCUAGCCUGUGGAUUUGGGCCAUUCUACGCCCAAUCUUCCCCAGAAUCUACACUGGGGGAAGUGGCCCCUUUGUGCCUGUGUAGGGACACAUGAGAAUUAUGCACGUACCUCAUGACUUAGGCUGUAAGCCAUACCCUUUGUUGAUCCUUUUCAGAACCUCUCAGAGGCUCUAUCCAGCUCCUUUUGUUUCUCAACAUGGAUUUCUGAAGCUGUCUGGGGACUUGGAUCUUAAGCUGUUUUCCCCUAGGCUAUGUCUUCUGCACCAUCAAACCAGACCUCACCAGUAUUCACUACUUACUCGAGACAAGGCCUAUUGAUAUCGUAACCUUCAGAUUUUGUGUUCUAGGUCCUGAACUAAACUUUUUCAUAAUCUCUGCUCCUCCCUAAAUGAGGUCUAGUCCCAUGUCCAGGCCCUUCCACCCUUCUCUAUUCUGCAAGCACCAACAAGCUAUUCUUAACAUGUCAAGCAUUAAGAUAAUAUUCAACUUUUAUGUGAACAUAUUUGUAUAGACAUUUACUGCUGGCUGCUUCCUAGCUCCACUAUUGAGGGCCAUAGAGAUAAACAAUAAACUCUGCUUUAAAGAGCUCACAGUCAGUAGAAGAAGCAGUAAGAAAAGGGAGGGUUGCUGGGUGUUGAGAAAAGGUGCUAGAAGGACAGGAGAAUGCGGUCAGGAAAACAUUAUCCUUUCAUCUCUCUAGAAAAGGGCACAGGGGAAGCAAAGUAGAUUUAAGUUCAACUAGCAAUGCCAAGUUGGACAUGUUAUGUCUGAAGUAACUGCAGGAAGACUCAGAGGAAGAAGCCCAGAGAUUGUGUUGGGAUAUAUAGACUGAACUUGAGGCACUGACAAAAUACAGACACAAAUAGAAUCCUAAGGCCUCCAGGAGAUCAUGAGGAAAACCCCUAUAGUGGUGGAAGGGUCAACAUGGAGUAAUUCCCAAAGAUGUCUCUCCUCCUGGGAGAAUGGGAGGCAUGAGAAAGAGGCGUAUUUUCAUCCUCUCCUGCCCUCGUCUCGGCUGUUUUCCUAGAGUGUAAUCUGCUGAUGUGAGGGCCACUGGGUUGCUCUUUGCUACUGCCUGUAAAAGAGCAAGAAAGCCACACAUGGUGGCCUUUACAAUCAAGGCACGGGGAUAGUCAUUCUUCUGCAGGCUGUGC